Long non-coding RNA from Myotis brandtii (Brandt's bat), 424 nucleotides. RefSeq lists it as uncharacterized. NCBI's taxonomy places the organism in Eukaryota, Metazoa, Chordata, Mammalia, Chiroptera, Vespertilionidae. The record is from RefSeq and is a predicted model, not a curated record. The transcript has 3 exons.
GGGAGAGCCAGAUGUUGAGACAGGCCUUCCAAGGCAGGUCACAGCAGGAGACAGGGACCGAGGCUGUCAGGAAGGGCCGCCAAAACGGGGGCUCCUGCACCUCAAGGUCUCAGCAGGGGUUCUGAGUGUCAGGAGCCUGGUCCCCAGGCCCUGUUGAAGACACUGUUCAAGGGGUGGGGGUCCUGCCUCAUUACUGCCAGGUUCUGUUGGCCACGCGGGGACUUUUCUUCUGCACAGAAGCUUCUUCCAGAAUCUCUUCGCCUAUCUCAGCUGAACAAGUAUUCUCCAAAAAAUCCAGAUGAACAGAUGAGGACAGUGUCCCGGCAGGUUGUAGAGAGGCGAGCAUCCAUCGGUGCCCACCAUCUGGACCGACGUCCUGAAGCCUAGGAACGUGGCCCCUGCUGCUGCCAGCCCCCAGGCCACA